GACGGAGGGUGCAAGCGUUGCUCGGAAUUACUGGGCGUAAAGAGCUCGUAGGCGGUUUGUCGCGUCUGCUGUGAAAACUUCAGGCUCAACCUGGGGCUUGCAGUGGGUACGGGCAGACUAGAGUGCGGUAGGGGUGACUGGAAUUCCUGGUGUAGCGGUGGAAUGCGCAGAUAUCAGGAGGAACACCGAUGGCGAAGGCAGGUCACUGGGCCGCAACUGACGCUGAGGAGCGAAAGCAUGGGGAGCGAACAGG
Molecule: ribosomal RNA, 253 nt
Filed under: uncultured bacterium
Lineage: Bacteria
Description: partial 16S ribosomal RNA
Rfam family: Bacterial small subunit ribosomal RNA
Source: RNAcentral